RNAcentral lists this non-coding RNA (1624 nucleotides) under Saccharomyces cerevisiae (brewer's yeast). Its description in RNAcentral is "ribosomal RNA". It matches the Rfam family "Bacterial small subunit ribosomal RNA". Lineage: Eukaryota; Fungi; Ascomycota; Saccharomycetes; Saccharomycetales; Saccharomycetaceae. The record is from RNAcentral.
AUUUAUAAGAAUAUGAUGUUGGUUCAGAUUAAGCGCUAAAUAAGGACAUGACACAUGCGAAUCAUACGUUUAUUAUUGAUAAGAUAAUAAAUAUGUGGUGUAAACGUGAGUAAUUUUAUUAGGAAUUAAUGAACUAUAGAAUAAGCUAAAUACUUAAUAUAUUAUUAUAUAAAAAUAAUUUAUAUAAUAAAAAGGAUAUAUAUAUAAUAUAUAUUUAUCUAUAGUCAAGCCAAUAAUGGUUUAGGUAGUAGGUUUAUUAAGAGUUAAACCUAGCCAACGAUCCAUAAUCGAUAAUGAAAGUUAGAACGAUCACGUUGACUCUGAAAUAUAGUCAAUAUCUAUAAGAUACAGCAGUGAGGAAUAUUGGACAAUGAUCGAAAGAUUGAUCCAGUUACUUAUUAGGAUGAUAUAUAAAAAUAUUUUAUUUUAUUUAUAAAUAUUUAAUAUUUAUAAUAAUAAUAAUAAUAAUAUAUAUAUAUAAAUUGAUUAAAAAUAAAAUCCAUAAAUAAUUAAAAUAAUGAUAUUAAUUACCAUAUAUAUUUUAUAUGGAUAUAUAUAUUAAUAAUAAUAUUAAUUUAUUAUUAUUAAUAAUAUAUUUUAAUAGUCCUGACUAAUAUUUGUGCCAGCAGUCGCGGUAACACAAAGAGGGCGAGCGUUAAUCAUAAUGGUUUAAAGGAUCCGUAGAAUGAAUUAUAUAUUAUAAUUUAGAGUUAAUAAAAUUAAUUAAAGAAUUAUAAUAGUAAAGAUGAAAUAAUAAUAAUAAUUAUAAGACUAAUAUAUGUGAAAAUAUUAAUUAAAUAUUAACUGACAUUGAGGGAUUAAAACUAGAGUAGCGAAACGGAUUCGAUACCCGUGUAGUUCUAGUAGUAAACUAUGAAUACAAUUAUUUAUAAUAUAUAUUAUAUAUAAAUAAUAAAUGAAAAUGAAAGUAUUCCACCUGAAGAGUACGUUAGCAAUAAUGAAACUCAAAACAAUAGACGGUUACAGACUUAAGCAGUGGAGCAUGUUAUUUAAUUCGAUAAUCCACGACUAACCUUACCAUAUUUUGAAUAUUAUAAUAAUUAUUAUAAUUAUUAUAUUACAGGCGUUACAUUGUUGUCUUUAGUUCGUGCUGCAAAGUUUUAGAUUAAGUUCAUAAACGAACAAAACUCCAUAUAUAUAAUUUUAAUUAUAUAUAAUUUUAUAUUAUUUAUUAAUAUAAAGAAAGGAAUUAAGACAAAUCAUAAUGAUCCUUAUAAUAUGGGUAAUAGACGUGCUAUAAUAAAAUGAUAAUAAAAUUAUAUAAAAUAUAUUUAAUUAUAUUUAAUUAAUAAUAUAAAACAUUUUAAUUUUUAAUAUAUUUUUUUAUUAUAUAUUAAUAUGAAUUAUAAUCUGAAAUUCGAUUAUAUGAAAAAAGAAUUGCUAGUAAUACGUAAAUUAGUAUGUUACGGUGAAUAUUCUAACUGUUUCGCACUAAUCACUCAUCACGCGUUGAAACAUAUUAUUAUCUUAUUAUUUAUAUAAUAUUUUUUAAUAAAUAUUAAUAAUUAUUAAUUUAUAUUUAUUUAUAUCAGAAAUAAUAUGAAUUAAUGCGAAGUUGAAAUACAGUUACCGUAGGGGAACCUGCGGUGGGCUUAUAAAUAUC